CCACAAAACAAGCCGAAGCUCGUCAGAGCACGGGGGAACCGAUUCAUUGGGGUGAAGUCGUAUAGCGACAGGGGAGUCCACUUUAACCCGAACCCGACAGCUAACCUCGCAGGCUGCAAAGGGAGAGAUG
RNAcentral lists this small RNA (130 nucleotides) under Paenibacillus alvei. RNAcentral describes it as "ydaO-yuaA". It matches the Rfam family "c-di-AMP riboswitch aptamer (ydaO/yuaA leader)". From Rfam's summary of the family: This family represents a conserved RNA structure found upstream of the ydaO and yuaA genes in Bacillus subtilis and related genes in other bacteria. The ydaO/yuaA element is thought to act as a genetic "off" switch for the ydaO and yuaA genes in its native state. It is believed that the element may be triggered during osmotic shock leading to activation of ydaO, a predicted amino acid transporter gene, and members of the yuaA-yubG operon which code for KtrA and KtrB K+ transporters. Lineage: Bacteria; Bacillati; Bacillota; Bacilli; Caryophanales; Paenibacillaceae. The record is from RNAcentral.